GAGUGCGAAUCAUGUGCUUCAUUUUGCUCUCCUGAGACAGGAAGCGCUCCACGCUCGUCUCCAGCGUCUGGAUCUUAUGCCGCGCAGCCUGGAGGAACAGAGAUGUCGCGCCUCAUUUGUCGAGCCGGUCGGAGUCAUCGGGCAGCGGCCCGGCUUCCAACAUCUCAUCCUGCAGGACGUGGUACUCCACCUCGUAAGCGUGCAGCUGCUUGGAGAUGUCCAUCUCCACCACCUGGCAAACACCGGGUCACAACAGUCAUCGGUCUGUCGACACGGUUAACAAGAGCGCCAGGCUUUUCCCGUCACUCGGAAGGAGCGCUCCACAGCUCCAGCAGAUAAUACGCAUGGUCAGCACGGCGGGCGCCCGGCUCAUCACAGCGGAAAAACAGGAAGUGCCCUUUGCUGGGGAAAAUGUCACCGAGACCAUGUUGUUUACUCUCACAGCUGUUCUGCACAUACGGGGUUAUAAUCCCUCACUUGACACCUCUUAUUACGUUUCCCUGCUCGUGAAAAAGUCGUGAAGUAAAAGAGAAGGCUCUGGGGUUAAGUCAUUCGGACGGAGCAACCUGGGACUAUGUCGGCAUAUUCACAUGGAAAUACUCUGCAGGUCGAGGCUUUUUUUCCAAAAAGGUGUGUUAACGAAAAAGCUCAGAGGGUUGGACGGUCGGUCGGAGGAAAAACAUCCUGUGAAAAUGCCAUUUUACAAUGGCCGCUCCACUGGAUCUCAUUCAGAAUGCAAAUGUUGACCUUUACAUUCUGCCGUGCAGACACCUGGUAGACCGUGUCAGACCUUUCAAAGUAAACACAUUGCCGAACUGAGUCGGGCAAUGAUGCUUCGGAGUUCCCGAGGCAUUAUGGGUAGCGCUGGUCAGGAAAAAAGGUGACGUGCGGUUAAAUACAGGUUAAAUUCAGGUUAAAUACAGUUUUGCCGUGCAAAAGAAAGCCUAAAAUACACAUGCAAAUACAACAAGAGGUGUAUCAGCAUCCCCUUGUCUUUCUGAGAGAAACAGGAAGAGGGCCGGAAUAAAGAGAAAUAAAAAAGGUUGAUGUGGAUAAAAAAAAGAACCAAGAUACAGGGACAGAAAAAGCGGUGUGUUAAAAGGUUUGUGACAGCCAACAUUUACACGGCUGU
Long non-coding RNA from Cyclopterus lumpus (lumpfish), 1132 nucleotides. RefSeq lists it as uncharacterized. The transcript has 3 exons. NCBI's taxonomy places the organism in Eukaryota, Metazoa, Chordata, Actinopteri, Perciformes, Cyclopteridae. The record is from RefSeq and is a predicted model, not a curated record.